GUUCUUUGGGAACUAAAAUCUUAUAUUUAACCACAGGAAAGGUACAGUAUAGGCAGCGGCAGUGCAAGUUUCCUUACACAAUCCCCUCAGAAUGUCUCAAAGGCAUCCUAUAGGAAUCAGAGUAGAUCCCCAGGUGGUGUAAAUUGGAAUAAUUCAAUUGAUUUCCAUUGAAGUCAAUGGCGCUA
This 185-nucleotide small RNA is filed under the name Chrysemys picta bellii (western painted turtle). RNAcentral describes it as "TUC338 (ENSCPBG00000015881.1)". Lineage: Eukaryota; Metazoa; Chordata; Testudines; Emydidae. The record is from RNAcentral.